Molecule: long non-coding RNA, 215 nt
Organism: Ipomoea nil (Japanese morning glory)
Lineage: Eukaryota; Viridiplantae; Streptophyta; Magnoliopsida; Solanales; Convolvulaceae
Exons: 3
Source: RefSeq, a predicted model, not a curated record
CAUGAUGAAUGUUGGGGAGUUCCAGUCUAUGAUGAUAAUCAAUUGUUUGAGCUACUUGCACAGUGUGGCAUGUUGAUGGAUUUCAACUGGACUCAAAUUUUGAAAAGGAGAGAACUACUCAGAGAAACUUUUGGUGGGUUUAAUGUAAAGAAUGUGGCCAAAAUGGGGGAGAAAGAGAUUCAAGAAAUUGCAUCCAAAAAACCAUUGAUGUUAAA